UCAUACAUUUCAACACAAGACCUGCAGCUUCCCAGAAAUCACGUGAUAUUAAGGAGCUCUCAUUUUAGUGUUCAGCAAGCAAAAAAACUGAUGCACUCUAGCAAGAAGGUGGAAUAAUCCAGGGACCCAUCCAGCACCCUGUCACUCACAUGUGAUCACAGCAGUAUAGCAAAUGGCAAAGAACCAGUCAAUUGACAAUUGACAAUGAAGUUCCGCCCUACUUUUUUUUCUCACUCAGUAAGCUGUUUCCCUUGGAGAUGCAUCACAAAAGGAAAGAAAAAACAAUUUCCGUUUCAUGUAAACUUUAUUCUUGCAUAAACAUAGAUAUAUUAAAAUAAAUACAAUAUUAAUUCAA
This is a long non-coding RNA of Labeo rohita (rohu), 355 nucleotides long. RefSeq lists it as uncharacterized. Lineage: Eukaryota; Metazoa; Chordata; Actinopteri; Cypriniformes; Cyprinidae. The transcript has 2 exons. The record is from RefSeq and is a predicted model, not a curated record.